GGUUCCAUAGUGUCGUGGUUAUCACGUCUGCUUUACGCGCAGAAGGUCCUGGGUUCAAGCCCCAGUGGAACCA
This 73-nucleotide transfer RNA is filed under the name Pangasianodon hypophthalmus (striped catfish). It matches the Rfam family "tRNA". From Rfam's summary of the family: Transfer RNA (tRNA) molecules are approximately 80 nucleotides in length. Their secondary structure includes four short double-helical elements and three loops (D, anti-codon, and T loops). Lineage: Eukaryota; Metazoa; Chordata; Actinopteri; Siluriformes; Pangasiidae. The record is from Rfam by way of RNAcentral.